Molecule: long non-coding RNA, 254 nt
Filed under: Struthio camelus australis
Lineage: Eukaryota; Metazoa; Chordata; Aves; Struthioniformes; Struthionidae
Description: lncRNA (ENSSCUG00000004840.1)
Source: RNAcentral
GUUCUGUAACACCGAUCAUACUUGUUACCCUUCUCUGAGUCUUUCACAACCUAGCUAUACUCUUUCUGAGAAGGGGAACCAGACCUGCACAGAAUGCGUGAUGGGACACACGCUGAGGCACCAGGGAGGAGCUGGAGAAUGAAUCAGUCAAGUUUGUGUGUACAAAAGGCAUUCUUUAAAGUCUUUGCUAUAGCAGACCACGCAGUGUCUGUUACCAUGCUAUGAGGUGUGUUGUGAAUGCCAGAUUUUCCGAG